Molecule: ribosomal RNA, 698 nt
Filed under: Carinadinium ornatum
Lineage: Eukaryota; Dinophyceae; Gonyaulacales
Description: partial large subunit ribosomal RNA
Rfam family: Eukaryotic large subunit ribosomal RNA
Source: RNAcentral
AGGAAGAGAAACUAAUAAGGAUUCCUUUAGUAAUGGCGAAUGAACAAGGAUUAGCUCAGGAUGAAAAUCAGGUAUUAUGGCAUUGAAUUGUAAUUUAAAGAUGCUCUGCCAACAGAUGCGCAGAUGUAAGCCUUUUGGAAAAACACAUCAAUGAUGGUGAGAAUCCUGUUGAUCAUUUGCAGCUAUCUGUGCACGGUGUGCAUUCUAUGAUUCACGUUCCUCGGGAUUGGAACGCAAAGUGGGUGGUAAUAUUCAUUUGAAGCUUAACAUUGGUUUGAGACCGAUAGCAAACAAGUACCAUGAGGGAAAAGUGAAAAGGACUUUGAAAAGAAAGUUAAAAAGUGCAUGAAAUUGUUGAAAAGGAAGCGGAUGUAACCAUAUGCUCUUUGCAAGAUUGUUGUGUGCCUCGUGUGAUAAGUUUGCUGCGUCAACGCCAAGUGUAGCAGCAAGCCUAAUCUGAUUGUGCAUGGUGGUUCUUGCAUUGUGUGCCAACAUCAUUUUGCAACUGGUGAAAACAUAAAAGACAAGGUAAUUUGCCUGCGGGUGAACGAAUGUGUUUUUAAGGGAGCCAGUUGUGGAUUGUUGCAUGCGUGGGUGGUACAAUGGUUAUGUGCACACAAUUAUUUACAUUGAAUAAGUGCUAAACCCAUUUGGCCAUUCUUGACACAACAAUGAUGGCAAAAUGGUUUCAUUUGACC